UAAGCCAUGCGAGUUAAAUGUUCUUCGUGAACAUAGCAGACUGCUCAGUAACACGUGGAUAACCUGCCCUUAGGACUGGCAUAACCCCGGGAAACUGGGGAUAAUGCCGGAUAGAUCAUAAAUGCUGGAAUGCUUUAUGAUUGAAAGGUUUCGACCGCCUUAGGAUGGAUCUGCGGCCUAUCAGGUUGUAGUGGGUGUAAUGUACCUACUAGCCUACGACGGGUACGGGUUGUGGAAGCAAGAGCCCGGAGAUGGAUUCUGAGACAUGAAUCCAGGCCCUACGGGGCGCAGCAGGCGCGAAAACUUUACAAUGCGGGAAACCGUGAUAAGGGAACACUGAGUGCUAGCAUUUAUGUUAGCUGUCCACAUGUGUAAAUAGCAUGUGAUAGCAAGGGCUGGGCAAGACCGGUGCCAGCCGCCGCGGUAACACCGGCAGCCCGAGUGGUGAUCACUAUUAUUGGGUCUAUAGGGUCCGUAGCCGGUUUAAUCAGUCUUCUGGGAAAUCUAAUCGCUUAACUAUUAGGCUUCCAGGGGAUACUGUUAGACUUGGGACCGGGAGAGGUAAGAGGUACUGCAGGGGUAGGAGUGAAAUCUUGUAAUCCCUGUGAGAC
RNAcentral lists this ribosomal RNA (611 nucleotides) under uncultured archaeon. RNAcentral describes it as "bacterial SSU rRNA". It matches the Rfam family "Archaeal small subunit ribosomal RNA", at positions 45 to 657 of the family's 1478-position model. The record is from RNAcentral.